AUCGCUUCUCGGCCUUUUGGCUAAGAUCAAGUGUAGUAUCUGUUCUUAUCAGUUUAAUAUCUGAUAUGUCCCCUAUAUGGGGAUAACAUAUUAAACCGAUUUUUAGCAACAGGAGUUGAAACAUGGGGCUUGCUCCGUUCACUCCACGCAUCGACCCUGCAUUGCAGUGCCGCUGGGAACGGGUGCACCCUAC
Scophthalmus maximus (turbot) is the source of this 193-nucleotide small nuclear RNA. Its record names the gene U2. It matches the Rfam family "U2 spliceosomal RNA". Rfam says of the family: U2 is a small nuclear RNA (snRNA) component of the spliceosome (involved in pre-mRNA splicing). Complementary binding between U2 snRNA (in an area lying towards the 5' end but 3' to hairpin I) and the branchpoint sequence (BPS) of the intron results the bulging out of an unpaired adenosine, on the BPS, which initiates a nucleophilic attack at the intronic 5' splice site, thus starting the first of two transesterification reactions that mediate splicing. The record is from Ensembl. Lineage: Eukaryota; Metazoa; Chordata; Actinopteri; Pleuronectiformes; Scophthalmidae.